RNAcentral lists this ribosomal RNA (478 nucleotides) under Clostridioides difficile. RNAcentral describes it as "bacterial LSU rRNA". It matches the Rfam family "Bacterial large subunit ribosomal RNA", at positions 753 to 1238 of the family's 2925-position model. Lineage: Bacteria; Bacillati; Bacillota; Clostridia; Peptostreptococcales; Peptostreptococcaceae. The record is from RNAcentral.
AAGAUAACAUGUCGCGGCUGUCCUAACCAACGGGCUGUGAACAACACGUGGAUGAUGUGUGGAUAGCGUUGAAGUGCCGACCGAGCCCGGAGAUAGCUGGUUCCCCCCGAAUGAGCCUUAGGGCUGGCCUCAAGGUAAGGGAUAAGGAGGUAGAGCUAUGAAUGUCCUAGGUAGUAUUGCACCUACCUAAGACUAUCAAACUCCGAAUGCCGUCAUCUUAUACUUGGGAGUCAGACUGUAGGUGAUAAGAUUCAUAGUCGAAAGGGCAACAGCCCAGAUCGUCAGCUAAGGUCCCUCAAUGUAAGUUAAGUGGGAAAGGACGUGGGAUUGCACAGACAACCAGGAUGUUGGCUUAGAACCAGCCACUCAUUCAAACAGUGGGCAAUAGCUCGCUGUUCGAGUGGUCCUGCCCCGUACCGUUCAGGUGCGAAAACUUACUACCGAAGCUACAGUAUCAGUAAUGAUGCGUAGGGCAGCU